RNAcentral lists this ribosomal RNA (327 nucleotides) under Triticum aestivum (bread wheat). Its description in RNAcentral is "partial small subunit ribosomal RNA". Lineage: Eukaryota; Viridiplantae; Streptophyta; Magnoliopsida; Poales; Poaceae. The record is from RNAcentral.
AUGAAGAAACAAUUUUCACUGAACAGGCAUGUCCUUAAUUACGUUAUGUUCAAUCACACAAACAAAGGAAACGGUUCUGAAAAAAAAAUGAUAGUCAAGGAAAAGGGAAAGAGGGACCUUCGAACUUCAAAUAAUGUCGCCCAUGUGGAGGAUGCGUUUGGCUGGCGCUCUAGGGGUGGAAAACGUUUCCACCAUCCUCAUAAUGUACUAAAGAUGGAUCAAAGAUGGCUGCGAGAGACGAAAUCCAUGCCCACAUCACCUGCACGGACGCCGACAGCAACAACACCGCGCAGAUGGAUGAUCUCGCCUACUCCCUUCGCAGCUUGA